Thoreauomyces humboldtii is the source of this 73-nucleotide non-coding RNA. The record is from the annotation of a GenBank genome assembly. NCBI's taxonomy places the organism in Eukaryota, Fungi, Chytridiomycota, Chytridiomycetes, Spizellomycetales, Powellomycetaceae.
CGGCUUGUGGCGAAGUGGUAUCGCGUUCCCCUCCGAAGGGAAAGGUCUCAAGUUCAAACCUUGACUGGCUCGA